This 245-nucleotide ribosomal RNA is filed under the name uncultured Coriobacteriaceae bacterium. RNAcentral's name for it is "partial 16S ribosomal RNA". It matches the Rfam family "Bacterial small subunit ribosomal RNA", at positions 524 to 769 of the family's 1533-position model. Lineage: Bacteria; Bacillati; Actinomycetota; Coriobacteriia; Coriobacteriales; Coriobacteriaceae. The record is from RNAcentral.
CACGUAGGGGGCGAGCGUUAUCCGGAUUCAUUGGGCGUAAAGCGCGCGCAGGCGGCCGCUCAAGCGGGACCUCUAAUCCCGGGGCUCAACCCCGGGCCGGGUCCCGAACUGGGCGGCUCGCUUCGGGUAGGGGGGAGCGGAAUUCCCGGUGUAGCGGUGGAAUGCGCAGAUAUCGGGAAGAACACCGACGGCGAAGGCAGCUCCCUGGGCCCUGAAGGACGCUGAGGCGCGAAAGCCGGGGGAGC